GGAAAUCUUCAUUUCUUGUAACUUCAAAACUCAAUAAGUUAGCUUCAAAAAACAGCAGCCACUCAUAAAAUAUAAUCUAGAAAAUACGUAUUUUCAUAGGGUUUAUGCAUCCUUCACGCAUGCUCCUCAAAGAAAAUAAUUGAAUAUUUAGAUCAAGCAAUUAUCUUGAAAGUUUGACUCACAUUGUUAAUUUCAUAUGCUUUCCUUGUCAUCAAGCAUCACGAAGGAUGUCAAAAUAUCUCCUAAGAUUCAGAAUAUCUACUAAGAUUCAGAAAUAAACUUUUUUCCCAUUCAAAUGUUAUAUAUAUAUAUAUAUGCCAUAUAAUACGAGAAAUAAUAUAUAUAUGUCAGUGUUUUAUUUAUAAAUAA
This 369-nucleotide unclassified non-coding RNA is filed under the name Hevea brasiliensis (rubber tree). The record is from RNAcentral. Lineage: Eukaryota; Viridiplantae; Streptophyta; Magnoliopsida; Malpighiales; Euphorbiaceae.